This 237-nucleotide small RNA is filed under the name Stutzerimonas kunmingensis. RNAcentral's name for it is "Pseudomonas kunmingensis Pseudomonas sRNA P24". The record is from RNAcentral. Lineage: Bacteria; Pseudomonadati; Pseudomonadota; Gammaproteobacteria; Pseudomonadales; Pseudomonadaceae.
UUGCGCAAGUGAUGCCUUGAUCAGCAAUAUUCGCAAUCCAGUGCUGGGUGGUGCGGCGUAAGCUUUAUCUCAACUUCAGCCCCCGGCAGAAACGGACACGGCACAGCAUCCCCGCCGUGACCACCGAAGGUCUUACCAAGACCGAAGGUCCGGGCCCCCGGUGCUCACGAGGCGCCGCGCGAAGAAGCCGUUAUCAUCGGCCCGACGAAUCGAAGAGACCACGCCCAGGCGUGGUCU